CAGGAAUCCAUCCCCAUGGCCAAAGGCAGCAGCAACAGCAAUAGCAGGCUGAAACAAGAGAGGGGAUGACUUGAGCUCACUGAAAGCAUCAGAGUUUCUCUUCCAGACAAGACGAAGACAAGCCUGAAAAAGGAUCCUGAGUUCUCCAUUGAAUCAGCUUUACUCUCCUGCUGGUCUCUUCACUAAUGAGACCCAGUUUCUCUCUCUUCAUGUAGUGGCUGCCUGUCAGCUCUGAUGUACAUGUUUCAAGUCCAGCCCUAAGCAGGGAUAAAAACUGAAGACCUUCAGUUCUAUUAUAAAAUUGCCAGGAUCCCACCCAUGACCAGAGGGAUGGGCACAUCUCAGAAAGAAGUCAAGCAAACUCCUACCAGGGAAUUUCACUGUUGAGAUGAGGCACACAGGUACCACAGAGGGUUGGACCUGAUCAUCUGCUGGCAAUUGCCUAAAGAGGUAGCACACAAG
Hippopotamus amphibius kiboko is the source of this 462-nucleotide long non-coding RNA. RefSeq lists it as uncharacterized. The record is from RefSeq and is a predicted model, not a curated record. The transcript is spliced from 4 exons. Lineage: Eukaryota; Metazoa; Chordata; Mammalia; Artiodactyla; Hippopotamidae.